This 905-nucleotide ribosomal RNA is filed under the name uncultured bacterium. RNAcentral's name for it is "bacterial SSU rRNA". It matches the Rfam family "Bacterial small subunit ribosomal RNA", at positions 544 to 1448 of the family's 1533-position model. The record is from RNAcentral.
UCCGGANUUAUUGGGCGUAAAGAGCUUGUAGGCGGUUGGUCGCNUCUGCUGUGAAAGGCUGGGGCUUAACCCUGGUUUUGCAGUGGGUACGGGCUAACUAGAGUGCAGUAGGGGAGACUGGAAUUCCUGGUGUAGCGGUGGAAUGCGCAGAUAUCAGGAGGAGCACCGAUGGCGAAGGCAGGUNUCUGGGCUGUAACUGACGCUGAGAAGCGAAAGCAUGGGGAGCGAACAGGAUUAGAUACCCUGGUAGUCCAUGCCGUAAACGUUGGGCACUAGGUGUGGGGGACAUUCCACGUUUUCCGCGCCGUAGCUAACGCAUUAAGUGCCCCGCCUGGGGAGUACGGCCGCAAGACUAAAACUCAAAGAAAUUGACGGGGGCCCGCACAAGCGGCGGAGCAUGCGGAUUAAUUCGAUGCAACGCGAAGAACCUUACCAAGGCUUGACAUAUACUGGACUGCGUCAGAGAUGGCGUUUCCCUUCGGGGCUGGUAUACAGGUGGUGCAUGGUUGUCGUCAGCUCGUGUCGUGAGAUGUUGGGUUAAGUCCCGCAACGAGCGCAACCCCCGUUCUAUGUUGCCAGCACGUGAUGGUGGGGACUCAUAGGAGACUGCCGGGGUUAACUCGGAGGAAGGUGGGGAUGACGUCAAAUCAUCAUGCCCCUUAUGUCUUGGGCUUCACGCAUGCUACAAUGGCCGGUACAGAGGGUUGCGAUACUGUGAGGUGGAGCUAAUCCCUAAAAGCCGGUCUCAGUUCGGAUUGGGGUCUGCAACUCGACCCCAUGAAGUCGGAGUCGCUAGUAAUCGCAGAUCAGCAACGCUGCGGUGAAUACGUUCCCGGGCCUUGUACACACCGCCCGUCAAGUCACGAAAGUUGGUAACACCCGAAGCCGGUGGCCUAACCCUGGUG